GUAGGUGAACCUGCGGAAGGAUCAUUAACACGUAUCCAACGUUAAACAACCCUGUGAACCUUGAACGUGCUCUCGUACACGCUCUAGCAGCAAUCCCUCUGCUAGAAAACCAUACGAUACGAGCGCCAGAGUAAGUGCGGCCUGGCAUCCUAGCAAUCUGUCAGUGGUUGCGCAAGGAUGGCGCAGUAAACGAUCGCUGUAGGCCCACACGGCCGGCGACCGGGCCUCUGUGCUUCGGCACCUAAUGACACCAGUUUUCUGACCCGGUGCGCUGUAACAACCGCACCACAAACUCGAACAACUGUUAACAAUGGAUAUCUUGGUUCUU
This 328-nucleotide unclassified non-coding RNA is filed under the name rhizosphere metagenome. RNAcentral describes it as "partial ribosomal RNA internal transcribed spacer region". The record is from RNAcentral.